RNAcentral lists this ribosomal RNA (512 nucleotides) under uncultured bacterium. RNAcentral's name for it is "bacterial SSU rRNA". It matches the Rfam family "Bacterial small subunit ribosomal RNA", at positions 9 to 516 of the family's 1533-position model. The record is from RNAcentral.
GAGUUUGAUCCUGGCUCAGAUUGAACGCUGGCGGCAGGCCUAACACAUGCAAGUCGAGCGGUAGAGAGAAGCUUGCUUCUCUUGAGAGCGGCGGACGGGUGAGUAAUGCCUAGGAAUCUGCCUGGUAGUGGGGGGAUAACGCUCGGAAACGGACGCUAAUACCGCAUACGUCCUACGGGAGAAAGCAGGGGACCUUCGGGCCUUGCGCUAUCAGAUGAGCCUAGGUCGGAUUAGCUAGUUGGUGAGGUAAUGGCUCACCAAGGCGACGAUCCGUAACUGGUCUGAGAGGAUGAUCAGUCACACUGGAACUGAGACACGGUCCAGACUCCUACGGGAGGCAGCAGUGGGGAAUAUUGGACAAUGGGCGAAAGCCUGAUCCAGCCAUGCCGCGUGUGUGAAGAAGGUCUUCGGAUUGUAAAGCACUUUAAGUUGGGAGGAAGGGCAGUAAAUUAAUACUUUGCUGUUUUGACGUUACGACAGAAUAAGCACCGGCUAACUCUGUGCCAGCCGCC